CAGCCGCCACGGGAACACGGAGGGAGCUAGCGUUGUUCGGAAUUACUGGGCGUAAAGCGCGCGUAGGCGGUUACUCAAGUCAGAGGUGAAAGCCCGGGGCUCAACCCCGGAACUGCCUUUGAAACUAGGUGACUAGAAUCUUGGAGAGGUCAGUGGAAUUCCGAGUGUAGAGGUGAAAUUCGUAGAUAUUCGGAAGAACACCAGUGGCGAAGGCGACUGACUGGACAAGUAUUGACGCUGAGGUGCGAAAGCGUGGGGAGCAAACAGGAUUAGAUACCCCUGUAGUCCCUGUCUCUAUACA
RNAcentral lists this ribosomal RNA (301 nucleotides) under uncultured bacterium. Its description in RNAcentral is "partial 16S ribosomal RNA". It matches the Rfam family "Bacterial small subunit ribosomal RNA", at positions 509 to 808 of the family's 1533-position model. The record is from RNAcentral.